GAUUAACGCUAGCGGCAGGCCUAAUACAUGCAAGUCGCACGGGAUUCGAGGGUAGCAAUAUCUUGAUGAGAGUGGCGCACGGGUGCGUAACACGUAUGCAAUCUACCUUUAACUGGGGGAAUAGCUCACCGAAAGGUGAAUUAAUACCGCAUAAAAUCACAGAAGGACAUCCUUUAAUGAUUAAACCUACGGGGGUUAAAGAUGAGCAUGCGUCCGAUUAGCUAGUUGGCGGGGUAAUAGCCCACCAAGGCAACGAUCGGUAGGGGGUCUGAGAGGAUGAUCCCCCACACUGGUACUGAGAUACGGACCAGACUCCUACGGGAGGCAGCAGUAAGGAAUAUUGGACAAUGGAGGCAACUCUGAUCCAGCCAUGCCGCGUGAAGGAUUAA
Molecule: ribosomal RNA, 389 nt
Filed under: uncultured bacterium
Lineage: Bacteria
Description: bacterial SSU rRNA
Rfam family: Bacterial small subunit ribosomal RNA
Source: RNAcentral